RNAcentral lists this ribosomal RNA (465 nucleotides) under uncultured bacterium. Its description in RNAcentral is "partial 16S ribosomal RNA". It matches the Rfam family "Bacterial small subunit ribosomal RNA", at positions 28 to 507 of the family's 1533-position model. The record is from RNAcentral.
GACGAACGCUGGCGGCGUGCUUAACACAUGCAAGUCGAACGGAAAGGCCCUGCUUGCAGGGUACUCGAGUGGCGAACGGGUGAGUAACACGUGGGUGAUCUGCCCUGCACUUCGGGAUAAGCCUGGGAAACUGGGUCUAAUACCGGAUAGGAGCCAUUUUUAGUGUGAUGGUUGGAAAGUUUUUUCGGUGUAGGAUGAGCUCGCGGCCUAUCAGCUUGUUGGUGGGAUAAUGGCCUACCAAGGCGGCGACGGGUAGCCGGCCUGAGAGGGUGGACGGCCACAUUGGGACUGAGAUACGGCCCAGACUCCUACGGGAGGCAGCAGUGGGGAAUAUUGCACAAUGGGCGCAAGCCUGAUGCAGCGACGCCGCGUGGGGGAUGACGGCCUUCGGGUUGUAAACUCCUUUCGCUAGGGACGAAGCUUUUUGUGACGGUACCUAGAGAAGAAGCACCGGCUAACUACGUG